Molecule: non-coding RNA, 31 nt
Filed under: Mus musculus (house mouse)
Lineage: Eukaryota; Metazoa; Chordata; Mammalia; Rodentia; Muridae
Source: RNAcentral
UCUAGGACAGAUUUUUCAGUCAUCAGCUGUA